Thamnophis sirtalis is the source of this 629-nucleotide non-coding RNA. The record is from RefSeq and is a predicted model, not a curated record. Lineage: Eukaryota; Metazoa; Chordata; Lepidosauria; Squamata; Natricidae.
CCCCCCCCGAGUCAAAUUCCACUUCAGUGACAUCCACAGACGGGUCACAGCAGACAAAAUAGUCUUUGAUUUUAGGCUUGCAAAAGAAGAUAUGGAAUUGCUUGACUCCAUGGACAUCAACAGAAAGUUGGUCUAUCUAACCUAUCCAAUAUGGAAGGGAUAACUCAUGGAGUGGUUACAGAAUAGACUGGCUGAGAACACGGUGACUUCUGGAUUCCUCCAAGCUAUUUACUUAAUGCAUUCAAAGCUAAUGCAACUUAAGUACUUUUUGCACAAAGCUAUCUUUCCUUAUUAACAAAUUAUUAGGCUACUGUAUGGGGUGUUCCCAUUUCCGAGCUCUCACUAAAAGACUUUUCAGGAAGUUGCAAGUUACUCUUGAGCCUAACUAGAUAUGAAUUUUAAAAAGUCAUUGCUAAACUUAACUCGGCUGGAGCCCUGUUGGUUUUGGCUGUGUGUGUGAGACAAUUUGGAGUUUGGAACUGUGUGAAAACGAAAAUUAAUGUAAUUAAUAAUAUUAAUGUCUGAUUAAUAUUUUGUUCUAUCUACUCUUUUUUUGCAUGGAGUUGAACCAUAAAUUACUAUCACCCAAUUUCAGUCCACUUUAUUGUCAAUAAACAUGUUUAAACCAA